RNAcentral lists this ribosomal RNA (408 nucleotides) under uncultured bacterium. Its description in RNAcentral is "partial 16S ribosomal RNA". It matches the Rfam family "Bacterial small subunit ribosomal RNA", at positions 28 to 526 of the family's 1533-position model. The record is from RNAcentral.
GACGAACGCUGGCGGCGUGCCUAAUACAUGCAAGUCGAACGGAGUGGCGCACGGGUGAGUAAUUUAUAGCUAAUCUGCCCUACACUAGAGGACAACAGUUGGAAACGGCUGCUAAUACUCUAUAGUGUAGGAUGAGGCUAUAGUGUAUCAGCUAGUUGGUGAGGUAAUGGCUAACCAAGGCUAUGACGCCUAACUGGUCUGCGUGGAUGAUCAGUCAAACGGGAACUGAGACACGGUCCAGAGCCCGACGGGAAGCAGCAGUAGGGAAAAUUGCUCAAGGGGGGAAAGUCUGAAGCAGCAACGCGGCGUGGAGGAUGACACUUUUCGGAGCGUAAACGCCUUUUGUUAGGGAAGCGGUACCUAACGAAUAAGCACCGGCUAACUCCGUGCCAGCCGCCGCGGUAAUUC